CUUGGAUGGCUAAGAGAAGUCAGCUGGAUGCUCUCAUUAAUAUUAACCUCAUUGUGCAGACCUUAUGAGGACAGAAUAUUUCAAACUUGCAAUGGCAAGGCUGUGACUUUCAUACUCACAAUGAGAAGUGGGACCAACUUCACAAAGGCUGAAAUUUUUAGAUACAGGUGAGAAAAGAACCAAUUUAUUUCCACAAUUUUUUUUUUUCUGAGGCAGGCUUUCACUGUGGUGUAUGUAGCUCUGGCCAUUCUGGAGCUCCAUCAGGCAGGCUUCAAACUCAACAGAGAUCCCCUGGCUUAAGUACUGGGAAAGGCAUGAGUCACUAUCCCAGGCUUCUGAUAAAGACUGAGCAUAUUUGAAACUAGGACUUGCAUUUUCUAUUUCUGUUCAUUCUGUAUGAGACGCCCUCUCCUUGCUGAGUAAAGGUUGAAUAACCCAAAGGUAGCCUCUUUGGGUUCAGAUUUGCUCAACCAAAUGAGAAAGGUAAGAGAGGGGCUAGAGAGCCGGCUCAGCUGCUAAAAGCACACAUUGCAUUUACAGAGGAUGGGUUCGGUUCCCAACACAUCCUAUUACACGAUUCCAGUUUCAGAGGAUCCAGUUUCCCUCUUCUGAUCUCCAUAGGUACUGGGCACACAUUAGUACACAUUCACACAUACAGUCAGAUACUCAAACACAUUAAAAUAGACAAUCUUUAAAAAAGAAAAUACAAUGGGCUGGAGAGAUGGCUCAGUGGUUAAGAGCACUGACUGCUCUUCCAGAGGCCCUGAGUUCAAUUCCCAGCAACCACAUGGUAGCUCACAACCAUCUGUAAUGGGAUCUGAUGCCCUCUUCUGGUGUGUCUGAAGACAGCUACAGUGUACUCAUAUAUAUAUAAUAAAUAAGUCUUCAAAAAAAGAAACAAUGGCCUGUAAGUUCCAUGGCUACUUGACUACACACAAGAAAUCAUGAAUCUCUGAAUCUGUUACAUAACACAUAUUAUUAUAGUUACCUAUGUAAAUUAAUGCAAUCCAGCAGUAUAUUCUUAACACGUAGAUCCUGGAUUUUCCUCUUCGCUCCUGUUGGGAUUAGUUAAUACCGUCUUGUGGGUCUUGGGUUAUGUAUUGCAACCUCAUGGCUCAUAUUUAAGCUGGGAAUGGUUUGCGUCUGGCAAUGGGAAAUAAGGGAGGGUGCAUGUUUGACACUGAGGAGGACUCGGCUCUGUAGGGGGCUAAUGGCCAAUGGUCCUGGAAGAGACUACGGGAAGAUCUUCAGACACGCUGUUGACAAGCAUCCAACAGGAGAGGAAGAACUAUGACUUCUGCUAAAGACCCUUUGACAGGGCUGUGGUGUCGAGAGCCUCUAAUCCCAGCACUUGGGAGGCAGAGGUAGGUGGAUCUCUGAACUUGAGGCUGGCCUGUGAGUUCCAUGAUAUCCAGGGAUACACAGAGAAACCCUGUCUCAGAACAAAACAAAAGCAAGCAAACAAAAUAGGUAGUUUGAUAGAAUCUGGGGACUUAAGGUCUCCAGCUGCAUUGACAUUUUUUUUGCCAAAUUUGGGAACCCAUUUCCCAGCCAAUGCCCUGACUUUUACCAAAAGAGAUUUUGGAGUUUGUUUGGAUUGGACUUUUGGUUUGGUUUUUGGAAAUCUUAGCUCUGUCACUACAAAAACAAAAACAAAAACAAAAACAAAAACAAAAACAAAACAAAACAAAACCCGAGGUGGGGGAGGUGGUUUGAGGGACGAUCAUAGGUGAUUUCUGGUCCUUCAGCCAGGCCUAUCGAAAGCUCUGAGAGAAACAGCUGGUUUGCCCACUUGUAUGUAUGUUUAUGUGCGUUCUGUGACAGAGACUCAGUCCUAUUGUUUUCUUUAGACAUGCUGAGAGAUGUAAACAGGGACGUUGGAGGUACUUUUCCAUAUCCAUAUUAGUUACUUCUUUUCCUCAUCACUGUGGCCAAAUAUCUUACCAGGAAUAAGUUAAGGGAAUAAGCAUUCAUUUUGCCUCCUGACUUGAGAGUACUGCCCAUCAUGGUGGUGAAGGCACAGCAGCAGGCGGUCAAGGAAGCUGGUCCUUCCUGCUGGUCUGCAGCCUGGAAGGAGACAGAGAUGAAUGCUGUACCCCGCUCACCGCUUCUUUGCAUUCAGUUCAGAAUGGUGCCGGCCAUAUUCAGGGCGGGUCUCCCCUCUUCCGUUACAGCUCUCUGCAAACGCCCUCAAAGGCAUACCCAAAAAUGUUUCUCCGGAGAGACUCUAAAUUCAGUCAAGCUGACGUCGGAGGUUAACUGUCACCUCUCAUGCUCUGUGCUUUCUUCUCUAUUAGUGGAAAUUAGGUCAUUACUGCCUGUAAAAUCAAACCAGGGGGCUAAUUUCACAUAGCCUAGAAAUGGCUCAGACAGCACAUCUUCUGGAACUACUUCUGGUUCUGACUUCUAUAAAGGUCAAGGGUCCAACCGAGAAGCUGCAAGGGAUAUAGAAUAAAUAGGGAUUCACUUCAGGGAGCAGCUGUUGCCCGGUUGUGGGAGCUUCUGGAGGAGUCUAUGCAAGGUUGGUGCUUCUCCAUCCAUAUAGCUAUAGGUUACCUAGACCAGGAGGGGAAGGAAAGGUAGAUAUGAAACGGGGUCAACACAGACAGACAAUGAGAGCCCCGAGAACAAACUGGAACCUAUGUUUGACAUCUACCCUACUACCUGACACCCCAGGUCAGUGUAGCGACUGCGUGGACAUCCCCCUGGCUCAGAAUGCAUCAGUACUCACAGAUGAGCUCUGAGGAGAACUGGGGAAGCACCGAGGGUCAGUGACAACACGAACUGGCAUGCUGCCCCAACGUACUCUGGCCUGGGAGCAUACAGACUGGAUGUGAGGAUUUAUUUUGAACAUGGCAGACUGGAGGAUUCAGCAUAAUGAAAGCUCUCAGGAGCGAUGGGCUCACCACAGGUCCAGUGGACCAUAGUUGGGGAUAUGUGUGACCCAUGGCCAUUGGGACUCACCAAUUCCCAGCUUCCAGUCUUCCAACUCAUCUAUAUUAAACUCGCUGAAGCCCUACUUCUUCACGAUGUGGAUCUCCUGCUGCCGGAGAACUUGCACUCGCACUUGUCUUAAUGAUGGGCCUCAGUCUUGUGUGUGUGCGCAGGUCUGCAGCUUGGUGCUUAUGGACACGGUGACCUCACCAAUGUGAAAAUGACCACCAUGCUCUAGACCCUCCCAAGGGCACAGCACACAUCUCUGGAGCCUAGAUUGGAAAGAGCAGGAAAUAAAGGCAUAUGAGUAUCUACCAGAAA
Molecule: non-coding RNA, 3255 nt
Organism: Rattus norvegicus (Norway rat)
Lineage: Eukaryota; Metazoa; Chordata; Mammalia; Rodentia; Muridae
Source: RefSeq, a predicted model, not a curated record